Molecule: ribosomal RNA, 177 nt
Filed under: Thouarella grasshoffi
Lineage: Eukaryota; Metazoa; Cnidaria; Anthozoa; Scleralcyonacea; Primnoidae
Description: partial 16S ribosomal RNA
Source: RNAcentral
ACAAUGUUCAAUCCCAACUUUCUGAGUCCUAGUACGCAAGGAAUGGUCUCAGCGAUGCUCGACUAUAUUGGCCCCAUCGACGUAAUCAACUUCUGGCUGCUGCAAAGAAGGAGAACAAAAGGUUUCGGGAUUAAUACCUUCUCAGGUGCCAUGUGGGUGCAUAGCCCCUGGUACCCU